AGUGAACGCUGGCGGUAGGCCUAACACAUGCAAGUCGAACGGCAGCACAGUAAGAGCUUGCUCUUACGGGUGGCGAGUGGCGGACGGGUGAGGAAUACAUCGGAAUCUACUUUUUCGUGGGGGAUAACGUAGGGAAACUUACGCUAAUACCGCAUACGACCUACGGGUGAAAGCAGGGGAUCUUCGGACCUUGCGCGAUUGAAUGAGCCGAUGUCGGAUUAGCUAGUUGGCGGGGUAAAGGCCCACCAAGGCGACGAUCCGUAGCUGGUCUGAGAGGAUGAUCGGCCACCCGGGACCUGAGCCCCGUCCCAGCCCCCUCCGGGGGGCAGCAGUGGGGAUUAUUGACAAAUGGGCGCAAGCCUGAUCCAGCCAUCCCGCGUGGGUGAAGAAGGCCUUCGGGUUGUAAAGCCCUUUUGUUGGGAAAAAAAAGCGGCAGUUAAUACCCCGCUGUUCUGACGGUACCCAAAGAAUAAGCACCGGCUAACUUCGUG
Molecule: ribosomal RNA, 491 nt
Filed under: uncultured bacterium
Lineage: Bacteria
Description: partial 16S ribosomal RNA
Rfam family: Bacterial small subunit ribosomal RNA
Source: RNAcentral